CAAUAGCGUAUAUUAAAGUUGUUGCAGUUAAAAGCUCGUAGUUGGAUUUCUGGCAGCGUGACUCCGGCCGGCAUGACGUCGGGUCCAGAGCGCGCUACCAUCCUUCUGUCAACCUUCGCGGGAUUUGUUUCCCGCCCUGGGGCUCAGAUAUUUUAUCCUUGAGAAAAUUAGAGUGAUUUCAGGCAGGUCUUUCGCCGGAAUUACAUUAGCAUGGAAUAAUAGAAAAGGACUUCAAACCUCUUCUGUUGGUCUGAGAGGCUGUAGUAAUGAUUAAUAGGGAUAGUUGGGGGCAUUAGUACUUGACUGGUCAGAGGUGAAAUUCUCCGAUUUGU
Molecule: ribosomal RNA, 332 nt
Filed under: uncultured eukaryote
Lineage: Eukaryota
Description: bacterial SSU rRNA
Rfam family: Eukaryotic small subunit ribosomal RNA
Source: RNAcentral